Molecule: long non-coding RNA, 1274 nt
Filed under: Felis catus (domestic cat)
Lineage: Eukaryota; Metazoa; Chordata; Mammalia; Carnivora; Felidae
Description: lncRNA (ENSFCAG00000049410.1)
Source: RNAcentral
CCCGGGCGCCCGAGCCCCGGCCGGCCCGGCGGGCGGCGGAGAGGAAGGGCUGCUGCAAGGGGCGCAGCCGCGACUGUGGCGUGUGCGUGGGGGGCAGGGGCCCCUACUCACCCUGGCCGGCCGCCUCCGCCUCCGCCGCCCCGACCGCCGCCUCGGCGGUCCAUCCUGCGGCGGGGGGCCUGUAGCCGCGGCGCUCGAGUAACAACCGCCGGCCGGGCCGGCCCCUCCCCCCCGCCCAACGUCUGUCCUCAGGGCCGCUCCGCAGACCCGGCCUCGGCCGCCGCCGCCGCCGCCGCCGCCGCAGCGCUACGUGGCCGCCGCUCCGACGUCUCGCGACUCCCUUCCGAGCGCGCGAGGGCGAGCGGGGCCGGCGGGGCGGGCGGCGCGCGGGGAGGGAGGCAGGGGAGGGGGUGUGCGUGUGUGGUUGUGUGUGCGGAGCCGGGGGCAGGGAGGGAGGGCGAGCGGCGGCGAGAGCGCGCGCGCGCCCGCGGCCCCGUCCCUCGCCCGCCCCCCCGCCCAACGGGGAGCCGACACCUCCCUCCGCCCGCCCCCCUGGCAUCCCGGCCGCUGGGCGCGGCGGCGCGCAUGCGCAGCCCCCUCGGGCCGGCCCCGGCGCACCUUUUCUCCCCGCUGCCACAAUGUGAGCGCCCCGCCGCCCAGAUAACCGCCGGCUCCCGCUCCACCCCCGCCCUCCCCCACUCCGCCCACUGCCGAGCGCCCAGGACCCUAGGACUCGUCCCCGUGUAUUCGAGGCCUUGGUGACUGGUACUUUGGAAGGCGUUGGGUCUUGGGCUAGCAAGGAGAUCCCGGUUUCUCUGCUGUCCCUUAACUUUUCCCUUUCAUGCAUCGACCCCCAGAAGAGGGCUACCGGCCAGUGUCCUCGCUCAACAUGUCACAAGAAGGAGCAUUUGCUCUCAGCCGGACUCCCUCAUUCCAUGCCUCCCUUCCUCAGCUGCUGGUACCAUAGCUCAGCAGGCAUCACAGACAACAUUUAGCACCUACAUCUGGCCUUACUGGAAGAUUAGGCUUCUUUCACCCUGGUUUCCUGGCCUUGGAUAGUCCUUCGCUAAUUUCUUCAUUAAGAGAGUGGACAAAGGCAAACCGUGAGAGACUCUUAAAAACUGAAAGUAAACUGAGGGUUGAUGGGGGGGGUGAGAGGGAGGGGAAAGUGGGUGAUGGGCCUGGAGGAGGGCACCUGUGCAGAUGAGCACUGGGUGUUGUACGGAAACCAACGUGACAAUAAAUUUCAUCUUAAAAAAAAGAAUUAUUGAAUC